GAUCCUGGCUCAGGAUGAACGCUAGCUACAGGCUUAACACAUGCAAGUCGAGGGGGAAACGAUAGAGAAAGCUUGUCUUUUUCUAGGCGUCGACCGGCGCACGGGUGAGUAACGCGUAUCCAACCUGCCCAUCACGUUGGGGAUAACCUUGCGAAAGUAAGACUAAUACCCAAUGACGUCUCUAGAAGACAUCUGAAAGAGAUUAAAGAUUUAUCGGUGAUGGAGUGGGGAUGCGUCUGAUUAGCUUGUUGGGGGGUAACGGCCCACCAAGACUACGAUGGAUAGGGGUUCUGAGAGGAAGGUCCCCCACAUUGGAACUGAGACACGGUCCAAACUCCUACGGGAGGCAGCAGUGAGGAAUAUUGGUCAAUGGACGCGAGUCUGAACCAGCCAAGUAGCGUGAAGGAUGACUGCCCUAUGGGUUGUAAACUUCUUUUAUAUGGGAAUAAAGUUGUCCACGUGUGGAUUUUUGUAUGUACCAUAUGAAUAAGGAUCGGCUAACUCCGUG
RNAcentral lists this ribosomal RNA (508 nucleotides) under uncultured bacterium. RNAcentral's name for it is "bacterial SSU rRNA". It matches the Rfam family "Bacterial small subunit ribosomal RNA", at positions 15 to 507 of the family's 1533-position model. The record is from RNAcentral.